Molecule: unclassified non-coding RNA, 394 nt
Filed under: soil metagenome
Description: partial contains 5.8S ribosomal RNA, internal transcribed spacer 2, and large subunit ribosomal RNA
Rfam family: 5.8S ribosomal RNA (bases 1-122)
Source: RNAcentral
GAUGAAGAACGUAGUGAAAUGCGAUACUUGGUGUGAAUUGCAGAAUCCCGUGAACCAUCGAGUCUUUGAACGCAAGUUGCGCCCGAAGCCAUCAGGUUGAGGGCACGUCUGCCUGGGCGUCACAUAUCGUUGCCCAAUGCCUAUUGCAGUGCAAUAGGAAUUUCUAGGGCGAAUGAUGGCUUCCCGUGAGCGUUGUUGCCUCGCGGUUGGUUGAAAAUCGAGUCCUUGGUAGGGUGUGCCAUGGUAGAUGGUGGUCGAGUUAGAACGAUACCGAUCAUGUGCAUGCUCCCCAAAAUAUGGCCUCUAUGACCCACACGCGUCUUUUGACGCUCAUGACGAGACCUCAGGUCAGGCGGGGCUACCCGCUGAAUUUAAGCAUAUAAUAAGCGGAGGA